CAGCAGCCGCCACGGGAAUACAGAGGGUGCAAGCGUUAAUCGGAAUUACUGGGCGUAAAGCGCGCGUAGGUGGUUUGUUAAGUUGGAUGUGAAAUCCCCGGGCUCAACCUGGGAACUGCAUCCAAAACUGGCAAGCUAGAGUAUGGUAGAGGGUGGUGGAAUUUCCUGUGUAGCGGUGAAAUGCGUAGAUAUAGGAAGGAACACCAGUGGCGAAGGCGACCACCUGGACUGAUACUGACACUGAGGUGCGAAAGCGUGGGGAGCAAACAGGAUUAGAUACCCCCGUAGUCCCUGUCUCUUAUAC
RNAcentral lists this ribosomal RNA (304 nucleotides) under uncultured bacterium. RNAcentral describes it as "partial 16S ribosomal RNA". It matches the Rfam family "Bacterial small subunit ribosomal RNA", at positions 509 to 807 of the family's 1533-position model. The record is from RNAcentral.